This 483-nucleotide ribosomal RNA is filed under the name uncultured bacterium. Its description in RNAcentral is "partial 16S ribosomal RNA". It matches the Rfam family "Bacterial small subunit ribosomal RNA", at positions 28 to 523 of the family's 1533-position model. The record is from RNAcentral.
GACGAACGCUGGCGGCGUGCUUAACACAUGCAAGUCGAACGGUGAAAGCGGAGCUUGCUCCGCUGGAUCAGUGGCGAACGGGUGAGUAACACGUGGGCAACCUGCCCCUCACUUCGGGAUAACUCCGGGAAACCGGGGCUAAUACCGGAUAUGACCUCCUUGGGCAUCCUUGGAGGUGGAAAGUUUUUCGGUGAGGGAUGGGCCCGCGGCCUAUCAGCUUGUUGGUGAGGUAGUGGCUCACCAAGGCGACGACGGGUAGCCGGCCUGAGAGGGUGACCGGCCACACUGGGACUGAGAUACGGCCCAGACUCCUACGGGAGGCAGCAGUGGGGAAUAUUGCACAAUGGGCGCAAGCCUGAUGCAGCGACGCCGCGUGAGGGAUGACGGCCUUCGGGUUGUAAACCUCUUUCAGCACCGACGAAGCGCAAGUGACGGUAGGUGCAGAAGAAGGACCGGCCAACUACGUGCCAGCCGCCGCAGUAA